Molecule: ribosomal RNA, 694 nt
Filed under: uncultured Bacteroides sp.
Lineage: Bacteria; Pseudomonadati; Bacteroidota; Bacteroidia; Bacteroidales; Bacteroidaceae
Description: bacterial SSU rRNA
Rfam family: Bacterial small subunit ribosomal RNA
Source: RNAcentral
AACGCUAGCUACAGGCUUAACACAUGCAAGUCGAGGGGCAGCAUGAACUUAGCUUGCUAAGUUUGAUGGCGACCUGCGCACGGGUGAAUAACGCGUAUCCAACCUUCCGUACACUCAGGGAUAGCCUUUCGAAAGAAAGAUUAAUACCUGAUGGUAUGAUGGGAUUGCAUGAUAGCAUCAUUAAAGAUUUAUCGGUGUACGAUGGGGAUGCGUUCCAUUAGAUAGUAGGCGGGGUAACGGCCCACCUAGUCGACGAUGGAUAGGGGUUCUGAGAGGAAGGUCCCCCACAUUGGAACUGAGACACGGUCCAAACUCCUACGGGAGGCAGCAGUGAGGAAUAUUGGUCAAUGGGCGCGAGCCUGAACCAGCCAAGUAGCGUGAAGGAUGAAGGUCCUACGGAUUGUAAACUUCUUUUAUAAGGGAAUAAAGUCACCCACGUGUGGGUGUUUGUAUGUACCUUAUGAAUAAGCAUCGGCUAACUCCGUGCCAGCAGCCGCGGUAAUACGGAGGAUGCGAGCGUUAUCCGGAUUUAUUGGGUUUAAAGGGAGCGUAGGCGGGUUUUUAAGUCAGUUGUGAAAGUUUGCGGCUCAACCGUAAAAUUGCAGUUGAUACUGGAAGCCUUGAGUGCGGCAGAGGCAGGCGGAAUUCGUGGUGUAGCGGUGAAAUGCUUAGAUAUCACGAAGAACUCCGAUUG